Molecule: ribosomal RNA, 246 nt
Filed under: uncultured bacterium
Lineage: Bacteria
Description: partial 16S ribosomal RNA
Rfam family: Bacterial small subunit ribosomal RNA
Source: RNAcentral
GAUCCUGGCUCAGGACGAACGCUGGCGGCGUGCCUAACACAUGCAAGUCGAACGGAACUNUUUUGAAAGAUUUCUUCGGAAUGAAUUUGAUUUAGUUUAGUGGCGGACGGGUGAGUAACGCGUGAGUAACCUGCCUUCAAGAGGGGGGAUAACAUUCUGAAAAGAAUGCUAAUACCGCAUGACAUAUCGGAACCACAUGAUUUUGAUAUCAAAGAUUUUAUCGCUUGAAGAUGGACUCGCGUCCGA